RNAcentral lists this ribosomal RNA (406 nucleotides) under uncultured bacterium. RNAcentral's name for it is "partial 16S ribosomal RNA". It matches the Rfam family "Bacterial small subunit ribosomal RNA", at positions 30 to 526 of the family's 1533-position model. The record is from RNAcentral.
AUUGAACGCUGGCGGCAGGCCUAACACAUGCAAGUCGAACGAGUGGCGGACGGGUGAGUAAUGUCUGGGAAACUGCUUGAUGGAGGGGGAUAACUAUGGGAAACGGUCGCUAAUACCGCAUACCAUCGGAUGUGCCCAGAUUGGAGUAGCGAGUAGGGGGGGUAAAGGCUCACCGAGGCGACGAUCCCUAGCUGGUCUGAGAGGAUGACCAGCCACACUGGAACUGAGACACGGUACAGACUCCUACGGGAGGCAGCAGUGGGGAAUAUUGCACAAUGGGCGCAAGCCUGAUGCAGCCAUGCCGCGUGUAUGAAGAAGGCCUUCGGGUUGUAAAGUACUUUCAGCGGGGAGGCGUUACCCGCAGAAGAAGCACCGGCUAACUCCGUGCCAGCAGCCGCGGUAAUUC